GGAGCCGGCCAGACAGUCGCGUCAUCCCUUCGGGGGUGCCGAGGAAAGUCCGGGCUCCAUAGGGCAAGGUGCCAGGUAACGCCUGGGCGGCGCAAUCCGACGGAAAGUGCAACAGAAAGAUACCGCCUACGUCUUCUUCGGAGGGCCGGUAAGGGUGAAAUGGUGCGGUAAGAGCGCACCGCGAGUCUGGCAACAGACCGGCACGGCAAACCCCACCUGGAGCAAGACCAAAUAGGGAUCCUUUGGCGCGGCCCGCGUUGGAUCCG
RNAcentral lists this RNase P RNA (266 nucleotides) under Corallococcus exiguus. Its description in RNAcentral is "partial RNase P RNA component class A". It matches the Rfam family "Bacterial RNase P class A", at positions 1 to 269 of the family's 367-position model. From Rfam's summary of the family: Ribonuclease P (RNase P) is a ubiquitous endoribonuclease, found in archaea, bacteria and eukarya as well as chloroplasts and mitochondria. The record is from RNAcentral. Lineage: Bacteria; Pseudomonadati; Myxococcota; Myxococcia; Myxococcales; Myxococcaceae.